RNAcentral lists this ribosomal RNA (280 nucleotides) under uncultured bacterium KC328. Its description in RNAcentral is "partial 16S rRNA". It matches the Rfam family "Bacterial small subunit ribosomal RNA", at positions 216 to 493 of the family's 1533-position model. Lineage: Bacteria; Pseudomonadati; Bacteroidota. The record is from RNAcentral.
UGGUAAAAGAUGGCUAUGCGUCUUAUUAGCUAGAUGGUAAGGUAACGGCUUACCAUGGCAACGAUAAGUAGGGGCCCUGAGAGGGGGAUCCCCCACACUGGUACUGAGACACGGACCAGACUCCUACGGGAGGCAGCAGUGAGGAAUAUUGGGCAAUGGAGGCAACUCUGACCCGGCCAUGCCGCGUGCAGGAAGACUGCCCUAUGGGUUGUAAACUGCUUUUAUACAGGAAGAAACACACCUACGUGUAGGUGCUUGACGGUACUGUAAGAAUAAGCAC